CCUACGGGAGGCAGCAGUGAGGAAUAUUGGUCAAUGGACGAGCGUCUGAACCAGCCAAGUAGCGUGAAGGAUGACUGCCCUAUGGGUUGUAAACUUCUUUUAUAUGGGAAUAAAAUGUUCCACGUGUGGGAUUUUGUAUGUACCAUAUGAAUAAGGAUCGGCUAAAUCCGUGCCAGCCGCCGCGGUAAUACGGAGGAUCCGGGCGUUAUCCGGAUUUAUUGGGUUUAAAGGGAGCGUAGGUGGAUUGUUAAGUCAGUUGUGAAAGUUUGCGGCUCAACCGUAAAAUUGCAGUUGAAACGGGCAGUCUUGAGUACAGUAGAGGUGGGCGGAAUUCGUGGUGUAGCGGUGAAAUGCUUAGAUAUCACGAAGAACUCCGAUUGCGAAGGCAGCUCACUGGACUGCAACUGACACUGAGGCUCGAAAGUGUGGGUAUCAAACAGGAUUAGAUACCCCAGUAGUC
This 460-nucleotide ribosomal RNA is filed under the name uncultured bacterium. RNAcentral describes it as "partial 16S ribosomal RNA". It matches the Rfam family "Bacterial small subunit ribosomal RNA", at positions 338 to 795 of the family's 1533-position model. The record is from RNAcentral.